ACUGGGCGUGGUCGCGCACGCCUGUAAUCCCAGCUACUUAGGAGGCUGAGGCAGGAGAAUAGCUUGAACCUGGGAGGCGGAGGUUGCAGUGAGCCAAGACUGCGCCACUGCACUCCAGCCUAGGUGACAGAGCAAGACCCUGUCUCAA
This 148-nucleotide non-coding RNA is filed under the name Pan paniscus (pygmy chimpanzee). Lineage: Eukaryota; Metazoa; Chordata; Mammalia; Primates; Hominidae. RNAcentral also lists the same sequence under 1 other name. The record is from Rfam by way of RNAcentral.